Frieseomelitta varia is the source of this 897-nucleotide long non-coding RNA. RefSeq lists it as uncharacterized. NCBI's taxonomy places the organism in Eukaryota, Metazoa, Arthropoda, Insecta, Hymenoptera, Apidae. The record is from RefSeq and is a predicted model, not a curated record. The transcript is spliced from 3 exons.
CACCUCUGACAAUGAGUUUCACGUUUCCACCACCAUACAAGUGGAGAAUCCACCGAUUGCCAUCGACAAGCAUUUUUCAAAAGAGAUUGCCAGCAAACAAGGAAAGCGUAUGAAGUGCCACACACGAAUUUCAACUACGAACUAACCCAUAGUAAAUUACCCAGAUUAUUGAUAUGAAUCAACGAAAAAUACCAUAGUUAUAUAAAACGUUAAGUAUUCGAGUUAAACGAGAACCACCGCCCAAUCAUUAUCGCCAAGUCAUUAUCUCUUACGGUUUCCAGAUAAUUCAUUGACAGGAAACAGUCGCGAUAUGAAAUUCCGUACCGAGUAAAUCAACUUAGUUAACACCAUCAAGCGAACUAGCCAUGGAUAACUAUACGGACUUUAUUGGCUAUAACCUCUUCAUAACGGUUACCUAAAUCUACAAUUGUUCUCUCCAAGUGCUCUAUACUACAAAGUACUACUAUUCUACCCAAGUAAUAAAAACUGACUUCACUUUCCCGAACUUCUCCUAAAAGAAAUUCUUUUACGAUACGACGAACGAAGCUAAUCGUCUAUUAGUUUUUAACGAACCGCAGAAUAACAAACAGAACUUACUCGAAUAGCAUUUUUUAGCUUGUCCGCCUCUUGACGAAGGGUUUCGACUUCGCUCAUGAUGACUGUCUAAUGAUGCGCUAAGCGUAAGUAUCCGCGAAGGAUGGAAAAAAACGGUGUCUCUCGAGAAGGAGGCAGUAUACCUCCGAUGAAUCCUAAAAUGUGAUUUUUCAGGAAUGGAUUAGUCCUAUUUCGCGUUUCCUUCUUGCACGAAGGUGGUUGGGGCCCACUGUCACGCCGUCGACGUUUUUUCCGAUGACCAAUAAAUAUCGUCCAGUCUUCCACCACCAGGAACGGGAAGGG